RNAcentral lists this long non-coding RNA (978 nucleotides) under Pongo abelii (Sumatran orangutan). RNAcentral's name for it is "lincRNA". The record is from RNAcentral. Lineage: Eukaryota; Metazoa; Chordata; Mammalia; Primates; Hominidae.
CCCGACGGUUCGCCUGCGGCCGCCUCCAACAACGGUGGAAACCGCACACAGGGACCGCGGGCCCUCGGCGCAGCAAAUCGGAAAGUGCUGCGGUCGGCGGCGCUGGGCUCUGAGCGCUCAAGCGAGCAGAGGGGUCGAGGGGUUCUCCCCACCCACAGGAGGCUCUCGGCGGGGCGCAGCCAAUUCUGCGUGCCCAAGGCUCCCCUCUGCCGUGGAUCGCGUGUGCCGAAUGUCAGCCUCUUCCCCGAAAGGGCCAGACGGACCAAGGGGGCCUUCCCAGCCGGCUGCAAGCUCUCAGACGCUAAAAUGGGAACAAAGCUUCCAGAAAGGCAGCGCUUUUGGGCGGCCGCGCCCCUCCCAGCCGCGGGGGCCAUUGAUACAGAGGCCUGCUGCGCUUGGUGUGCGCGGCCCGGCCGGGCCUCUGGAAACGCCCAUGAGAAAUGAGCUCAUGCUGGAUGCGCGCGCUCCUUGGGCGCAACUGCCCAGCGCAAAACGGGCCCCGAAAGCAGGUGAGUGGAGGACACUUCAAUCUAAAGUGAUCUUAAAGGAUGAGUAGUAGGAUUUGAAGAUGAAGAAAGAAGAGGGGAAGUAAAUUACUUUCCCUCACUUCAAUUUCAACCCAUCAGAUAAACCCUCUCUUUAGUAAACCCGCAUGUGGGUGGAGCUGUAAGAGCAAUUAAGGACAGUGUGACUCUGUUCUUCUGACUUUGGGAAAACCAGUUUGGCUGGAACAAAAAGCUGAUAGAGAAGACUAAUGGAAGAUAAGGUUGAAAAGGUAGGUUUGAGGGAGCUUUGAAUGUUACAGGAAAAAAAAAAUCUGGGCUUUGUCCUGUAGACAGUGGAGAGGUAUUUUAGCAGAUGUAAGACAUUACCAUUAUAGAAAAGCCUCUGAGUAACAUACACUGUGGUUUUUCCUGUUGCUGAAAAUAUGCCCAGAGUAACAAGACGUGGCAUAGUUGGUCGUGUGUCUUAUAACCA